Molecule: ribosomal RNA, 459 nt
Filed under: uncultured bacterium
Lineage: Bacteria
Description: partial 16S ribosomal RNA
Rfam family: Bacterial small subunit ribosomal RNA
Source: RNAcentral
CCUACGGGUGGCAGCAGUGAGGAAUCUUGGUCAAUGGGCGGGAGCCUGAACCAGCCAAGUCGCGUGCGGGACGACGGUCCUAUGGAUUGUAAACCUCUUUUAUCGGGGAACAAAGGCGCCCACGGGUGGGCGGAUGAGUGUACCCGGAGAAAAAGCAUCGGCUAACUCCGUGCCAGCAGCCGCGGUAAUACUGAGGAUGCGAGCGUUAUCCGGAUUGGUUGGGUUUAAAGGGUGCGUAGGCGGACAGUCAAGUCAGCGGUAAAAAUGCGGUGCUCAACGGCGUACAGCCGAUGAAACUGGCAGUCUUGAGUGGGCGAGAAGGAUGCGGAAUGCGUGGUGUAGCGGUGAAAUGCAUAGAUAUCACGCAGAACUCCGAUGGCGAAGGCAGCAUACCGGCGCCUGACUGACGCUGAGGCACGAAAGCGUGGGUAUCGAACAGGAUUAGAUACCCGUGUAGUC